Molecule: ribosomal RNA, 783 nt
Filed under: uncultured bacterium
Lineage: Bacteria
Description: bacterial SSU rRNA
Rfam family: Bacterial small subunit ribosomal RNA
Source: RNAcentral
AGAGUUUGAUCCUGGCUCAGAAUGAACGCUAGCGGCGUGCCUUAUGCAUGCAAGUCGAACGGUUCCGAUUUAUCGGGAUAGUGGCGAACGGGUGAGUAACGCGUAAGUAACCUGCCCUCAAGUAGGGGAUAACUCUGAGAAAUUGGAGCUAAUACCUUAUGUGGUGAUGGAGAUAGUACUUCAUCACUAAAGCCUUAGGGCGCUUGAGGAUGGGCUUGCGUCCGAUUAGCUAGUUGGUAGGGUAAUGGCUUACCAAGGCGACGAUGGGUAGCUGGUCUGAGAGGAUGAUCAGCCACACUGGGACUGAGAUACGGCCCAGACUCCUAUGGGAGGCAGCAGUGAGGAAUAUUGCGCAAUGGGCGAAAGCCUGACGCAGCAACGCCGCGUGGGGGAUGAAGGUGGUUUCCAUUGUAAACCCCUGUAGGGAGGGACGAACAAGCUGGUUUUGCCGGCUUUGACGGUACCUCCAAAGUAAGCACCGGCUAACUCCGUGCCAGCAGCCGCGGUAAUACGGAGGGUGCAAGCGUUGUCCGGAUUUACUGGGUGUAAAGGGCGUGUAGGCGGAGAGAUUUGUCGGAAGUGAAAUCGUGCGGCUUAACCGUAGCAAUUGCUUCCGAAACGGUCUCCCUUGAGUGCGAGAGGGGCAGAUGGAAUUCCAGGUGUAGUGGUGGAAUGCGUAGAUAUCUGGAAGAACACCAGUGGCGAAGGCGGUCUGCUGGCUCGUAACUGACGCUGAGGCGCGAAAGUGUGGGGAGCAAACAGGAUUAGAUACCCUGGUAGUCC